Long non-coding RNA from Capra hircus (goat), 3422 nucleotides. The record is from Ensembl. Lineage: Eukaryota; Metazoa; Chordata; Mammalia; Artiodactyla; Bovidae.
AGGUGAAAAUCCUUAGGAAGGUGCCAAGGACCCUCAGAGAAAGAAAAUGUAUAGAAACAGAAACGGAGAACCAAAGUCAAACUUCAUCUACUUAAUAGAUGUACUUACCUCAAAUUAUUCUGCCUAUACCAUUGCACACUUGCUUAAAUGAUAUCUCCUCCCUGCCCCUUUUAAAUGGUGUAUUUCCUCAGUAUCUCCAAAUAGAGCAGAGUGUUGCUUUUCGAGACUAGGCAGUGUGGGCUGUCUCUCUUCCGCUCUCCCCACCCCCACCCCAAAUCUACAAUACUGGCAUAAAGAAGAUGCCCAAUGACUGACUGUGAGUGGAAAGCACAUAAAAACACAGAAAACUUCUUUCAGUCUCUUACUUGCUCAUUUUAUUUUUAGCUUAGCAAGCAAUAGUUGCAAUGAGUAUUUUUGAAUGAAUAAAUAAAUUUUCUCCAUGGUCUCUGAAUUCUACCCUCCCCUUUUUCUUUCAGGGCUGGAACAACCAUUAUCUCUGACAACUUAAACUCGCAUUCCCUUGUAUUCAUCGUAUCUGUAAGUAUACAAUAAAAGCAUUACCUUCUUCAGUUAAAGUCUGGUGGGGAGCUAUAAACCAAUAGUUAUAUCUCUCAGUUGACUUCCAUAUUUGUGAUCAACUCUAAAGCUAAGGGGCCAGUUGAACCUGACUGCAGAUGACGUAAAUAUUAACUCCCUUGUGAAAUUGUUAAGCUAAAUAAACUUCAUAUGUCAUUACAGAAGAUGACGCAUUUAAGAGCUCCAAGUUUCUUUCGUAUUCAGAGUCUUUUCAGGGUCUGUGUUGGAUAACUGCUCAGAUGAAUGCUAAGGAUAUACCAGUGUACACAUUCCUGUGUGAUGAAGAUCAGUUCUUCCACCCUGAAAGAGUUCCACACCAUUCCUCCACCAAGAGGAGCUCUUGAUGCAACUGGUGGAAGUUUAGCAACCACAGUUUCUCCCAAGACUUCACUCUCAGCAGGAAGGAAGAAAACACUAGACGAAAAGAAACAGCAUCCCACCUGCAGUGCCCACUCUGGAACCGGUGUUUUGUGGAUAAUUGCCUCAGCUUCCCAGUCUCUGAUGGAAGGUUUGUUAACACAGUUCCUCAAAGGGUCCUGUAUUAGCUGUCUGUGUGACAGAUGACUUCCAACUCAGGGGCUUAGAAUAACAAAAAUUUCUUGUUUCUGUUUCUACAGGUAGGAAUCAGGAAGCAGCUUAGCCAGAUUGUUCUGACUUGGAGUUUCUCACCAGAGGAGCCAUGUGUCAACCAAAACUGUAGUCUUCUGAGGCAUGACUGGGUCUGAAGGACUCACUUCUAUCUCACAUGGCUGUUGGCAGAAGGAUUCCCCUCACCAUGUGGACCCCUGCCCAGGGCUUCUCACCAUAUGGCUUCCCCCAGAGUGAGUGGUCCAAAAGAGAGCAGGCCAGUGCCCAAAAUGAGAGCCAGUCUUUUUUACGAUCUAACCUCAAAAAUGACAUAAUAUCUCUUCUUCUGUAUGCUGUUGGUCACACCGACCAACCCUGGUGCAAUGUGGAAGGACACUGCACAAAGGUGUGAUUCUAAGGAGGCAAGGAUCCCUGGGGGCCACCUUGGAGACUGGCCACCACCGGUCCCCAGGAGGAUUGAAUCUUAGGUGCUACAGGGAGAGAUUGACUGAUAAUGUGUUCUUUUCUUCUUCCUUGUGUCGCUUUACCCAUCCCCUCGCUUUCUGCUUCCUGAUAUGACCCUCCUCCCAACCAACCACAAAGCUGACCUAAACCUAUUGCCUGACUUGGGUUCUCAUUUCAGAGGGACCCAACAUAAGAGAAAUCCUGGCCCAUUAUGCAAAAUUGUCAGCCAGCUUCUUCCUUGAACUUUGCUAGUUGAGAAAAAAUGGGCCUACUUCAAAUUUUUAACUUAAAAAAAAAAACAAAAACCUGUUUAUUUGGCUGCACCCAGUCUUAGCAGCAUGUGAGAUCUAGUUCCCUGGCCAGAGAUCAAAACCAGGCCCCCUGUAUUGGAAGCAUGGUGUCUUAACCAUUGGACCACCAGGGACGUCCGCAUUUUUAACUUUGUAUUUUGAAAUAACUUACAACAUAAAAUUGCAAUAAUGCUAUAAAGAGCUCCCAAAUACCUCUAUCCAGAUUCACCAGUUUUUAAUAUUUUGCCAUGCUGGAGAAGACUCUUGAGAGUCCCUUGGACUGCAAGGAGAUCCAACCAGUCCAUUCUGAAGGAGAUCAACCCUGGGAUUUCUUUGGAAGGAAUGAUGCUAAAGCUGAAACUCCAGUACUUUGGCCACCUCAUGAGAAGAGUUGACUCAUUGGAAAAAACUCUGAUGCUGGAAGGGAUUGGGGGCAGGAGGAGAAGGGGACAACCAAGGAUGAGAUGGCUGGAUGGCAUCACUGACUCGAUGGACGUGAGUCUGAGUGAACUCCAGGAGAUGGUGAUGGACAGGGAGGCCUGGCGUGCUGUGAUUCAUGGGGUUGCAAAGAGUCAGACACGACUGAGCAACUGAACUGAACUGAACUUUCAUUCUCAAAGGCCUGGAUUCUGAACCUUAUUAAAAUAUCAAGUGUCAUUCUUGCUUUACUUUUAUUCUAUAUUCACAAUAUGAUUUUGUUUGAUUUCUUUUUCAUUGAAUUUGUAUUUAUCUUUGGGGAAGUCCCUCAAUCUCUUUACACUUGUUUUCUCAUCUGAAAUGUGAAGAUGUUUAUGACUUAGGGUUGUUAUAAAAAUUAGAUGAAAGAGAGCAUGUAAAAAUUUAGAACAGGGCCUGGCAUGCAGUAAGUACUCAAUAAAUAUUAGCCUUUUAUUCAUUGUAUCCACAAAUAUUUAUCGAGAAACUUGUGGUUGUUAUAUCUUUGGUGACUGAUAAAUAAUUCAAUCCCAGGAGAUGAGCACUGAUAAUAAUAGUUUAAAUUGUAAUACACACACACACAGGAAAUAAAAUGGCGUCUGAGCUUUGCUUCAAAAUUAUUUUCAGGGAGAAUGGGUGAUGGAUACAUGAAGUUUCAUUAUAUUAUCUUCUUUUUUGCAUAUAUUUAAAAUGUUGCAUAAUACUAAGUUUAAAAAAAAAGUACAAAGACACAUAUACCAAAUUAACCAUUCUCAAAUGUCUGGUAAAUGUCACAUUUUCCCACAGUUGGGUCAUUUAAUUGGUUUGGAAAAUAUUAAAAUGAGACAAUGAAUCUUAAGAUUCUGAUGGUCACAGAGCUCAGCUUCCUGUACUUUCACCAUUAAUUUGACAGCCACUACUCCACAUUUUUUUUUCUUUAUAGCAUUGAGCCUUGACACUAGUUGUGUCCAGGUAAUUACUUAUUGGCUAUGACUGAAUAUUACAUUGUUUAUUUAUAUCUUGCUUGUGAUGUUACAUAAGCGAGCAUUCAGAAAACUACAUUUAUAAAUGUGAUUCUUAAUCUAUGAGUCACUUCAAGCCUUAGGAACU